GACAGAGGCCUCAAGCGUUAGGCGGAAUCACUGGGCUUAAAGCGUGUGUAGGCGGAUCGUUAAGUGUCUUGUGAAAUCCCACGGCUCACCCGUGGAACUGCUGGGCAUACUGGCGAUCUUGGGCCAACUAGGGGCAACUGGAACAAGCGGUGGAGCGGUGAAAUGCGUUGAGAUCGGAAGGAACGCCCGUGGCGAAAGCGAGUUCCUGGACGUCGGCUGACGCUGAGACGCGAAAGCCAGGGGAGCGAACGGG
Molecule: ribosomal RNA, 253 nt
Filed under: uncultured bacterium
Lineage: Bacteria
Description: partial 16S ribosomal RNA
Rfam family: Bacterial small subunit ribosomal RNA
Source: RNAcentral